RNAcentral lists this RNase P RNA (369 nucleotides) under bacterium (Candidatus Ratteibacteria) CG_4_10_14_3_um_filter_41_18. RNAcentral's name for it is "partial RNase P RNA component class A". It matches the Rfam family "Bacterial RNase P class A", at positions 17 to 252 of the family's 367-position model. From Rfam's summary of the family: Ribonuclease P (RNase P) is a ubiquitous endoribonuclease, found in archaea, bacteria and eukarya as well as chloroplasts and mitochondria. Its best characterised activity is the generation of mature 5'-ends of tRNAs by cleaving the 5'-leader elements of precursor-tRNAs. Cellular RNase Ps are ribonucleoproteins. The record is from RNAcentral. Lineage: Bacteria; Candidatus Ratteibacteria.
UGCCACAGAAAAGAUACCGCCCCCACUGCUUUCUUGCUUCAUCCCCCCCUGCUUCGAUUUGCGAAGCAAAGCGGGGGGGAGAACAGCAAGAAGUGGGGGAGGAAAGUCCGGGCUCCUGCGGGAAGGAUGGCCGCUAAUUACGGCUCCCUGCGAAGGGAAGGAAAGUGCCACAGAAAAGAUACCGCCCCCACUGCUUUCUUGCUUCAUCCCCCCCUGCUUCGAUUUGCGAAGCAAAGCGGGGGGGAGAACAGCAAGAAGUGGGGGGUAAGGGUGCAAUGGCGAGGUAAGAGCUCACCGUCUGCCGGGUAACUGGCGGAGCAAGGUAAACCCCAUCCGGAGCAAGGCCAAGUAAGAGAGAUUGCCCCGCAA